UCCCUGGACAUAAACAAUCACACAAAGUAGGUACAAGAAAACUUGUAUAGUAUGUGUAUUAAUGUGUAUGUGUGUGGAAAUGUCACUUACCUGUAGGAUUAACAGCAUCUGUGUGAUGGGCGUGGGGAGCAGAGAAGUGUUGGUGGGGAGCAGCUCCUCCAUUGGAAGCCUCAUCAGGACGAGAUCCCUGAAGGCUAGAAGGGCCAUCUGCCUUACUGUGAACUCAUGACCCUGGAGUUGAGCAAAAUAUACAGGGAAGGGUAGCAGUUCAAUAAUGUCACUGAUUCAUUAACUGAGAGAACACGGCGUUGCAUUGGUCAUUCCGACAAUGAAUAAUCAGUGCGUGAAGGCUUGGAUGAAUGUCCUAUGACUAGUAAAGAACGCUGCACUUUCAAAGCCUGUUUGGAGGACAUCAAGUUGUUACAGUGAAGAAGACAAAUUAAACCAUUCUAACAUUGGAUCUGAAAGGAGGAGGUUAUACAGGAGGCUCUUCUCACGCACAGUGCAGUAGAGCUCCUGGAGACGGCUGUAAGUCAUAAACUCGGCCAGGUUCACCCCAUUGUCCACAAACAGGCGAACAAAAUCCGGCUUGUCAUUGACCAAGGCAUCCAUCAUGACCUCUUCAAGAUCAUCUGCCUAUGAGAAAAAUAUUAUAAAUAUGGCCACAGCCAGUUUCAGCUCAUCCAGGAAGUCCUGUGCCUCCUGACUCUGACUUUUAUUGGCUGAGGGGAAAGUGAACAGAAGACAAAAACUUGGUUAAACAAGGCAAAAUGACUCAAAUCUGUGUUGCAUUAUAAAAGUGAUGAAUAACAAUUAAAAUUGCAUUAAAUAUUAUUAAGGGAGGAAAAAGCUGUGACCUUUAGGAGGCUAAUUAUUUGGUAGAUGGUAAUAACAUGCUGGAAACACUAACCUUUAACUAGUGCUUUGAGGAUAACUGUGUCUAGAUCGGAGUUCUCCUGCUCGGGGUCAUGUACCAUCAACAGGUGGAGAUUAUCCAUAAUUUUCAGAAUCUAGUAGGAAAAACCCCACAAAACUGGAAAAUUCAUUGGUGAAAUGUAACACUAAUUUUGUUAGAGCAAAUACAAAAGUUAACGCAUUUUGUUGUUUUUUGUAAUGCAUUUAGCUCUUACCAAUUUGAUCCAGGAAGCGACUGCACCACUUUGGCCAUUGGGAAAUGUGUCGAUCAGAAGUUCUUGGACAAUGUCAGCAUCCCAACAAGCCUGGUUUAUCAGUGUAACUAAAAUGUCUGCUACACCCCCCGAGCCAGCCAGGAUCAGCCAUGGCGUUGAAUUCUGAAUUGUCUUGUACAUUCUCUACAUGUGGAAUGGAGCCCAAGUAACAAACAUCUUACUUUAUUUUAGUAACUUAAGUGAAACAUCCAUUUGAAAUCAUUCUGUUUCAUUGAAAAAUAUCAUAUUAUUACAGACCUGCAAUAUCCUUGGUUCUCCAUGAACAAGCAGACAUAAGACAGGAAUUUCAAAGCUGCCAGGCCCUGAGAAAAUAAGGAUUAAGAGAAAAAAGUAUUUAGACUAAUAAAAGCUACAGGAAAAGUCACAAAUAAGGAUCUCAAUGAACUAGAGACAAUUAUGCACGUACCUCCAUGUCCAGUACGUUGUAAGGAGAUGUGUUUUAGCAGUUUGACACGCAUGUCACUGGUAGCACCAGGCUUCUUCGGGUCCUCUUCCACUAGGAUGAAAUGAGAGUGGUUGCAGUCCAGAGAGUACACAGUCCCAUGGGGAAGAUCCUCUGAGGGGUAGGGCGCUGGCUGAUCAGGCUGUAGAUUUAAAGAACAAAAUUAAGUUUGCUGUUAAAGGGGUGGUUGAUGGGAGAAAAACCUUUCCAUUUAUCCCAAAUUUAGUGGGUAAUUUGUAUUUGAAUUAUACCAUAUUAAUGUGCUUUUAGUAAAAACUCAGACUUUUAUGGUGGGUGCUCCACAUAAUCUAAGUCUAAUAAUAAUAAUAAUAAUAAUAAUAAUAAUAAUAACAUAUUGUGUAACAAAGACAUCUAAUCUCUGAUUUUUUUUUACUUGCUAUAACAAGACAUUUAACUGUUAUGGAAGGUUUCUCCAGUGUUAGCAGUCAGCACUUUGUAAUGGUCCAUAAGUUUGGUCUCAGAACUAGAGGAAUUUAUAGUUUCUCUGUAACAUGACAAAGUGGGGGUUUGUUUGUUUGUUUGUUUGUUUUAUUAACUUUAAGGGAGAGGAAAAAAGAGGCUGGUGUGAGAAUGACUGUAUAUAGCUGUUAUAAUGUAAGUGAUAAUAGGAACUAAUGUGUCUCACAGACUUUCCAUAACUUUAAAUGUAACUAUAAAUUGCUAAAAGUACAUUUCAUUCUUUAAUAAAGUAAAAAUCAUAAUCCUUUCACAUUUCUGCUAUAAGAGGAAUAAAACACUUCAGGAUCUUAUUAAAAAAAGAAUCGUCUUCAGGUUAGUAAUAGUAACUCUGCUUCACAUUGGGCAUCGAGUAUUUUCCUAUAACAGCACACCCCUUGUGUUUUAUUUCAUACAUCAAUGACAAACAUAUAAAAUAGGAAAUGUUCAUAAUGA
This is a long non-coding RNA of Ictalurus furcatus (blue catfish), 2544 nucleotides long. RefSeq lists it as uncharacterized. NCBI's taxonomy places the organism in Eukaryota, Metazoa, Chordata, Actinopteri, Siluriformes, Ictaluridae. The transcript is spliced from 5 exons. The record is from RefSeq and is a predicted model, not a curated record.